GACGAACGCUGGCGGCGUGCUUAACACAUGCAAGUCGAACGGAAAGGCCCUGCUUUUGUGGGGUGCUCGAGUGGCGAACGGGUGAGUAACACGUGAGUAACCUGCCCUUGACUUUGGGAUAACUUCAGGAAACUGGGGCUAAUACCGUAUAGGAGCUCCUGCUGCAUGGUGGGGGUUGGAAAGUUUCGGCGGUUGGGGAUGGACUCGCGGCUUAUCAGCUUGUUGGUGGGGUAGUGGCUUACCAAGGCUUUGACGGGUAGCCGGCCUGAGAGGGUGACCGGCCACAUUGGGACUGAGAUACGGCCCAGACGCCUACGGGAGGCAGCAGUGGGGAAUAUUGCACAAUGGGCGGAAGCCUGAUGCAGCAACGCCGCGUGCGGGAUGACGGCCUUCGGGUUGUAAACCGCUUUCGCCUGUGACGAAGCGUGAGUGACGGUAAUGGGUAAAGAAGCACCGGCUAACUACGUG
Molecule: ribosomal RNA, 468 nt
Filed under: uncultured bacterium
Lineage: Bacteria
Description: partial 16S ribosomal RNA
Rfam family: Bacterial small subunit ribosomal RNA
Source: RNAcentral